RNAcentral lists this ribosomal RNA (253 nucleotides) under uncultured bacterium. RNAcentral describes it as "partial 16S ribosomal RNA". It matches the Rfam family "Bacterial small subunit ribosomal RNA", at positions 524 to 776 of the family's 1533-position model. The record is from RNAcentral.
GACAGAGGCCCCAAGCGUUAGGCGGAAUCACUGGGCUUAAAGCGUGUGUAGGCGGACGCCUAAGUGUCUUGUGAAAUCCCACGGCUCACCCGUGGAACUGCUGGGCAUACUGGGCGUCUUGGGCCAACUAGGGGCAGCCGGAACAAGCGGUGGAGCGGUGAAAUGCGUAGAUAUCGCUUGGAACGCCGAAGGUGAAAACAGGCUGCUGGGGUUGUGCCGACGCUGAGACGCGAAAGCCAGGGGAGCAAACGGG